Molecule: ribosomal RNA, 403 nt
Filed under: uncultured bacterium
Lineage: Bacteria
Description: partial 16S ribosomal RNA
Rfam family: Bacterial small subunit ribosomal RNA
Source: RNAcentral
GACGAACGCUGGCGGCGUGCCUAAUACAUGCAAGUCGAACGCAGUGGGGACGGGGGAGUAACACGUGGGUAACCUCCCAUCAGAGGAGAUAACACUUGGAAACAGGUGCUAAACCGUUACUGUUGGAUGGACCCGCGGUGCAUUAGCUAGUUGGUGAGCUAACGGCUUAACAAGGCCACGAUGCAUAGCCCACCUGAGAGGGGGAUGUGCCACACUGGUACUGAGACCCGGCCCAGACUCAUACGGUAUGCAGCAGUAGGGAAUCUUCGGCAAUGGACGAAAGUCUGACCGAGCAACGCCGCGUGAGUGAAGAAUGUUUUCGGAUCGUAAAACUCUGUAGUUAGAGAAGCGGUAUCUAACCAGAAAGCCACGGCUAACUACGUGCCAGCAGCCGCGGUAAUUC